This 253-nucleotide ribosomal RNA is filed under the name uncultured bacterium. RNAcentral's name for it is "partial 16S ribosomal RNA". It matches the Rfam family "Bacterial small subunit ribosomal RNA", at positions 524 to 776 of the family's 1533-position model. The record is from RNAcentral.
UACGUAGGAGGCAAGCGUUGUCCGGAAUUACUGGGCGUAAAGCGCGUGUAGGCGGUCUGAAUAGUCUGCUGUGAAAGCGCCUGGCUUAACCGGGCGAGGUCGGCGGAAACUCUCAGACUGGAGGCCGGUAGAGGGGGGUGGAAUUCCCGGUGUAGUGGUGAAAUGCGUAGAGAUCCGGAGGAACACCAAAGGCGAAGGCAGUGUCCUGGGGAGUACCUGACGCUCAGGUGCGAAAGCCAGGGGAGCGAACGGG